This 85-nucleotide transfer RNA is filed under the name Terriglobia bacterium. RNAcentral's name for it is "tRNA-Leu". It matches the Rfam family "tRNA". Rfam says of the family: Transfer RNA (tRNA) molecules are approximately 80 nucleotides in length. Their secondary structure includes four short double-helical elements and three loops (D, anti-codon, and T loops). Lineage: Bacteria; Pseudomonadati; Acidobacteriota; Terriglobia. The record is from RNAcentral. RNAcentral also lists the same sequence under 2 other names.
GCGGGGAUGGUGGAACUGGCAGACACGCAGCACUUAGGAUGCUGUGCCGAAAGGCGUGCAGGUUCAAGUCCUGUUCCCCGCACCA